GCAAACUGGGAAGGCCCCUUUCGGGUGCAAGAAGCUUUCGAAGGAGGAGCAUAUCGUCUAGAGACCAUGGAAGGAAGAAUCCUCCCCAGGACGUGGAACAUAGCAAACUUAAAGUUCUACUACAGCUAACCGCGGGGCAACACGUUUCUGGUGGAAGAAUAAGUAAAACCAUUCUCUUCUUUUAGCAAUAUUUUUAAUGAUGUAUAAGAACCGUUUUCAUAAAUGAAUAAAAAGACAAUGAGACACUCUUUUCCCCUGUUUUAACUGGGGUUUUUAUCGAGGCUCAUUGAAUUUCAAAAUUC
RNAcentral lists this long non-coding RNA (302 nucleotides) under Trifolium pratense (red clover). RNAcentral's name for it is "long non-coding RNA (TPRA_LNC005494)". Lineage: Eukaryota; Viridiplantae; Streptophyta; Magnoliopsida; Fabales; Fabaceae. The record is from RNAcentral.